UGUGGGAUAGACAAAGAACUGUACAUUC
This 28-nucleotide non-coding RNA is filed under the name Rattus norvegicus (Norway rat). The record is from RNAcentral. Lineage: Eukaryota; Metazoa; Chordata; Mammalia; Rodentia; Muridae.